RNAcentral lists this unclassified non-coding RNA (611 nucleotides) under Hevea brasiliensis (rubber tree). Lineage: Eukaryota; Viridiplantae; Streptophyta; Magnoliopsida; Malpighiales; Euphorbiaceae. The record is from RNAcentral.
AUAAAGGCUUAGUUGAGUUGAGUGGGGAUAUUUUGGUGGUUCACUAUUUGCAAGUGAAGAACUGCAAUUUGUUUUACUUUUUAAUUGUAGGUUAGAGUAUUAUUAAUAUUGCCUCGUUUGAACCAUUAUUUUUAGUUAUUUUAGCUAUUUUCUGGAUUAAAUCUUGAAGUUUUCAACUUGAUAUUUGAGGUCUAUUAUAUUUCUUACGUGUGUGUCUGUACACACAUGCACAUAUAGAAAUGUAUAUACGUAUUCAAAUUGUGUUUGCCACCCUUACUAAUCUUGCUUUCCCAAGAAAUUUGCACAAGUGUCUUUUAACUAUAUUUUGGACCCAUGAUAAUUUUUGGGCGCAUGAUUUUGUUGUACAAAAUACUUAUCUCUGAUAAUAUAUGCAAGUCCGUACAGAGUAUACGGAGUAUCUUAUUGUAUGUAACAUUUAUGUUAUUUGGACUCUUUAUUAAAAAGCUAAUUUUAUUAGUAUUCUAUUUCCCAAGUUCUAUAACAUUAUGCUGUCAUGUUGAAUUUAGUUUGUUUUUAUAAUUUCUAUUUUAAAUAUUAACUUAAUUUUUAAUGAUGCUUAAACACUUGCAGGGAGGCUGUGUGCUGUCAGU